GAAUGCGAGUGAUGGAUGCCUAGGCGCACACGACCGAUGAAGGACGGGGACUCCCGCCGAAACGGGUAGGCGAGCCGGAGUCAGGCUGCGACCCUACCAUCUCCGAAUGGGGCAACCCCACCACCGUGAUGGGUGGUGAUCCUAAUCUGAAUCUAU
Molecule: ribosomal RNA, 156 nt
Filed under: Beta vulgaris subsp. vulgaris (sugar beet)
Lineage: Eukaryota; Viridiplantae; Streptophyta; Magnoliopsida; Caryophyllales; Amaranthaceae
Description: rRNA 5_8S_rRNA
Rfam family: Bacterial large subunit ribosomal RNA
Source: RNAcentral